CCAGCUUCCCAGCAUUCACCUACCUUCCUUUGGUUUGGCCCUGUGUCCCUCAAACCUGUUCCUCAAACACCCUCCUGCCUCCCCACCCUUCAUCCCCUCCCACCUCCCCUCCGCCUACUCUCAGUGGGUUCUUACAUUCAGUGUCUCUGCUCAUACUUUCGCUUCCUGCUUCUCUUGACUCGGUUCCACUUAUUUUGACUACUUGAACUGAAAAUGAACCGUCAACAUUGUUUCAAUGGUUCAAGACAGGAUGGACGGUUCCAAAGAACAAAAAAAUGUUCAUGAAGGUAAAAAGACACCAUAUGUGGUGUCUUUUGAACAAUGUUCCUUUGAACAUUUCUUUUUCCAUUGAGGGGAAAAUGGACAGGUAACAGUCUUUGAAAAACUAAGAAAAAUGUGGACUGUUUGUUGUAAAGAGCCCUGAAUUUCAAAUAAGUGACACACACAGUAUGAUUUUAGUAAUACAAAUGUUUAAUGGGUUUUUUUUCCAAUCGAAGGACACACAGACAGUUAACUUUGUGUUCAAAGUUGAAGAGGAAAUGGACUUUUCUAAAGAGGAAAGUAUUAUACUUCAGUGAAAAAACAAUCCAUAUGCAUUUAGUAGUAGAAAAUGGUGACAUUGUUUUAAAUAUCUUAUUGCACGGGUCAACGGGUCUCCAUGUUCGUCCCACCACUCACCCCCACCCUCAUCAUCUCCAAUUCUCAACUUCCCUCCCUCUGUUUUCUCCAUGUGUCCUGGAUAGAUGUUCCUCAAAACCCUUCCCCAUAGCCACCUGAGGAAUGCCCUCCCAUCUCCCCUCCAGUUUCUUUGGCUUCCUUCUCAUCUCAGUGUCUCUGCUUGUGUUUUACUCGCUGGUUUGUCUUCAGGAUCAGGUUCUACUAAUUUGGAACAGUGGGAGAAAAAAUGGAUUGUUAACACUGUCUUAAACGUUCAAAGAAAAGAGACUUUUCUGUAGAGCAAAAGCUUUCAGUUUGUUAAAAGCACACCAUGUAUCUUUACUAAUAGUCAUUUUUAACAUUUUGAGAAAAAUGGAAGGGGCAAGCAACUGUAAGGUUUCUAUUUCAAGAUCACUUGAUUGACUGCUCUAUGCAGCUCAAACAUUCAAUUAAGUAAAAAUAGAAAGAGGAACAAAACCCCGCACAAUGUAUUUAGUAAUAGCAUUGAUGGACAUUUCUUAAACACAGAAGACAAAAUUGACUGUUAAGCUCUCUGACAAUUCAAGACAGAGUGGGCUGUCCUAAGUUUGUUUAUUUCAAGAAACGGGGUUUUCCCUGUGCUUGAGCUGUGUACUAACCCUAUGAAAUAUUUUGUGCAAAUGUCAAGAGUGCACGGAUAGAAAUUUGACAGGGCUCCCCCUGCUGCCAUUAAAAGGAGCACGUUUGUGGAGUGCUACCUUAGAAAAUAAGGAUUCUGGGUCCUUGGAAGACAUUGAUCAGAUGAAACAAACUCAAGACAACAACUGUUCCUUGCUGACUUGGCACACACAUCCAUUGGUCAAGACUUCUAGUGAAGGAGGAGCUUGUCCAGGACCCCUCUAUUAAAAGGCCCACUCUGCUAGAAGGCUGUCAUUGCUUCCACCAAGAGCAGAGGGAGCAAGUGUUACAUUAUUGAUUGGGAUCUGCUGAGCUAGUUAAAACCGGACCCGGGCAUGAAGAACAGAGUGCGGGCCUUCACUCAGCUUUAUGCGGAGAAGAUCUGGGCUCUCGCAAAACGUAAAUUACAGGCGUAUGGAACGCACCCAGCCCUUUGGGUCUUGGACCCACUGGGUCCUUUGGUAAUCAGUGAGAUGCUGGUUUUGGUCCUUGACAAGAUAGCUGCAGCUGUGUACAAGCAGGUGGCUGUGAAGGCUUUAAAAAGGAACAUCAAGUAUUAUUUUAGAAGAUGGAUUCGGCGGUGCCACCCGGCACCCGUUUUGGUGCUUUAAUCCCUGCCUCUGUGUUUACACGAUCUCGGGACUGCUUACAAGACAAGCCCACAUAAUAUUUUUCUGCAAUGUCUACCCGUGAGGAGUUCAAACGGCAGACCGUGGCUUCCUCGUCACACAUAAAUUCCCUAUGUUACAAUAAUGGUCUUCGGGGGGGUGGGGGGGGUGGGGGUUCAGAGUCUCCUUCGAAUUGGCUGCCCCAACUUAUUCCUGCCCCGCACCUUCAGUUGCCAGGAAGCACGGAAUUUGGAUUCUGCACUUAGCUUCCUUGACCACACCACCUCCACCUCCCUGGCAUGAGACGCACCUUGAAGGCAAGGAAAUAAAAGAAUGGCGCAAAAACCCAGCGGUGUCCUCGCUGUCCUUUGGUGACCUCCUUCCCAUUUGGGGGCGGGGGUGUGAGACCCUGGCCUGCCUUCUGAGCAGGGGAUGGGCCCGGGUGCCCGGAGGGCCUCUCUGUGAGGCAGGAGGUUUCUGUGCUGACACACUGCUGGAGAUUUGUAGAUUAGACAAGUUUCCAAGGUUAAGCUCUAGAGUCCAGUCCUCGGGACACUUGAGAAGCCUCAAGCUUGGGUGUGGAGAGCAGAGGGUGUGGCCAGGAGUGCGCACCCUGGUGCCUGUGAGGGGGCUUUCCACACUGACAGGACCGGGACCACGAGAUGGAGGGGCCGGCCCUAAAUGGCCCCCACGGGGAAGCAGGAGACACCCACGGGGCCACGAGCAGGCUCUUGGGGGCAGAAAGACUCAAGAAACAAGCCUUCCUUCAGGGUCCCGGAAGGUUUCCUCCCACAGCCAACCUCUGCUUCCAUGAAAAAUUGGCUGCAGUGCUGCCUGAAGCUCGGAGGUCAACAGGGCCUUUCUCAGGCAAGAGAAGUGCGGCAGCCACCAGACCCAGACCCAGCUUGGAGCAACUGUGCAGUGUGGCCCACUGAAGGACAGAAACUGAGAAGGCGGACCCAGCUCCAAAAACUUCCUCACAGAAGCCUUGCCACCCCCUCCUCCUGCUUCUCAUUGGCCAUCGUUUCCACGUGGCUUUUCAGGAGGCCUCUUUGGCUCCCAGGAGUUACACUUUACUCACACCCUGCUUGCUACUUGAGCUUGGGUUCUGUGUUGGGGAUGGCAGAGCUCGAGCACUUCCCUCAAGUUCUUCAAGGGAAUAAACUGACAAAGGGAAGGAG
Artibeus jamaicensis (Jamaican fruit-eating bat) is the source of this 3103-nucleotide long non-coding RNA. RefSeq lists it as uncharacterized. The transcript is spliced from 2 exons. The record is from RefSeq and is a predicted model, not a curated record. NCBI's taxonomy places the organism in Eukaryota, Metazoa, Chordata, Mammalia, Chiroptera, Phyllostomidae.